RNAcentral lists this ribosomal RNA (253 nucleotides) under uncultured bacterium. RNAcentral's name for it is "partial 16S ribosomal RNA". It matches the Rfam family "Bacterial small subunit ribosomal RNA", at positions 524 to 776 of the family's 1533-position model. The record is from RNAcentral.
UACGUAGGGUCCGAGCGUUGUCCGGAAUUAUUGGGCGUAAAGGGCUCGUAGGCGGUCUGUUGCGUCGGCUGUGAAAACCCGGGGCUCAACUCCGGGCCUGCAGCCGAUACGGGCAGACUAGAGUUCGGCAGGGGAGACUGGAAUUCCUGGUGUAGCGGUGAAAUGCGCAGAUAUCAGGAGGAACACCGGUGGCGAAGGCGGGUCUCUGGGCCGAUACUGACGCUGAGGAGCGAAAGCGUGGGGAGCGAACAGG